CCCAUUAGUGAACUUAUGGGGGGUUCACACAGAUUCCAAAAAAAAAAAAAUAUUAUAAUAAUGAAUAGUAAUGAACCUGUCUCUCCCAAGCUCUUCCCGGUGAACCUGGUUCAUCACUGUAGCGCGGGCCCCACGACACGUGGCGGCCCGCGAUUGGUCCGAUUAAUUAAUUUUUUUUUUUUUUAAAAAAAACAAAAAUCAAACAGUAAAAAAAAAUAAUAAAAAAAUACUUUGUGAACCCCUUUCAUGGGGUUCACUGAUGCACAUGCUCUAAGGCCAUGAAUAUUGGUUGGACUAAAAACAGAGUCCUUAGGAUAUUUUAAUCAUAUUUGUAGUUUAGGACAAUUAUAAGGACUUUGGUUAAUUUAUGUGAUUAUUAGUGGGACUUUUGUUUGGUCCUUAAGUUUUUUUUUUUUUUUGCUGAAACUUAAAUAUAGAAGAUAAAUCAAAUUGAAUAAUUAAUAAGAAAUCAAAUUUUAUUCAUUUAAUUAGAAAAUUUCAAACAUUUUAUUACAUUGCAAUUACAAAACAAACACAAAUAAAAAAAAGGAAACACACAUUUUAUUCAUUAUAUAGCAAUUUUAACCUUACCUUUAAUUUGGAAUAUGUCCAAAUUUAGCCCAUAUAUGUUCAACCAAAUCUUGUUUUAAUUGUUGAUGGGUAUGUGGAUUCCGAACUUCUUGCCGACGAGCAAUUGAACAGCCGGUAUUUUUUGAUCUUUUAACAGUAAAGUUUAAAUCCUCAUCUUCAAAUUCUUCCAGAGUGUUUGCAUCUUUUUCAUCUUCGACAAUCAUAUUAUGAAGUAUGAUACAUGCUUUCAUAAUAUUUCCAAUUUUUUCUUUAUCCCAUAACUUAGAAGGAUUUUUGACAACGGCAAAUCUUGCUUGCAAGACUCCGAAGGCACGCUCAACAUCUUUACGAACUGCUUCUUGGGUUGUAGCAAACUUUGUCUGCAUUUCAGUUUGAGGUAGCCGAAUAGAUUGAAUAAAAGUUGCCCAUUUAGGAUAUAUACCAUCUGCUAGAUAAUAUGCUAGAUGAUACUCUUUUCCGUUGACAUAAUAGUUGACUUGUGGCGCGAUGCCGUUAAUAACGUCAUCAAAAACAGGCGAUCGAUCAAGAAUAUUAAGAUCGUUCAUAGUACCUGGAGCUCCAAAGAAUGCAUGCCAUAUCCAGAGGUCAUACGAAGCGACAGCCUCCAAGACAAUAGUUGGUUUUCCGGUUCCGCGUGAAUACAUUCCUUUCCAAGCGGUGGGACAAUUCUUCCACUCCCAAUGCAUACAGUCGAUGCUUCCAAUCAUUCCCGGAAAUCCACGUUCCUCGUUCUCAUAUAGAAGUCUUUGCAGAUCCUCCGGUGUGGGAUGUCGUAGGUAUUCAUCGCCAAACAAGGAGAUGAUUCCCGCGGUAAAAUUGUGCAAACAUUUUCGAGCAGUUGUAGCAGCUAGACGUAUAUACUCGUCUACCAUAUCGGCCGCACCACCAUAUGCCAAUUGUCGAAUUGCUGCCGUACAUUUUUGUAGAGGUGAAAGACUUCCUCGUCCGGUUGCAUCUUCUGACGGUCGGAAAUACGGAAUUUCUGUGGAGAGGCGAUGCACAAUACGGAGGAACAAAUUUUUAUUCAUCCUAAACCGUCUCCGGAAUAAACUAGUAGAAUAUGUCGGAUUGUCGGAAAAAUAAUCAUUCCAAAGCUGGUUGUGGCCUUCCUCUCGAUGUCUCUCAAUAAAAAUACGCUUUUUCCUCUCUUUUGGUUCUGGUAUAGGAUCAUACUCCUCUAAAAAUUCCUCAAUGUGGGUAUCGAAAUCAUCAUUAUCAUCAUCUCUGUGGUAAUGAUAAUGAGAUGAAGAUGCCAUUAAGGAUAAAUCAAGAGAUGUGGUUGUGAUAGUUUAGAAAAUGAGGGAAACCAAAGAGAAGAGAGAUUUGAGUAUUUGUUUUGACAAGAAGAAACUCAUAUUUAUAAGCUACAAUCUUUAUAACUCCGUGACUUGAUAAUGAAAGAUACAAUGACAUGUGAUGGAAAAUCUUGUCACGGGUUAUUACAUUUGCUAUUAACAAUCACAUGGAAACAACAAUCUUGUCACGGGUUAUUUCAAGUCUUAAGAGUUCAUGUGAUUGGUAGGUGUAAAAAACGUGUGUUUGGUAGGUGAAAAAAACGUAUUAUUUGAUCCAUCAUACUUUUCGACAAUCAUGUAAGAACAAUAGAUUCUGACAUCAUUAGAAAUACAUAAUCCAAGCAUCACCAAACAUGGAUAGAAAUUAGAAAUUUUAAUGUAUCACAGAUUGUAUACAUUACAAACAUGGAUCUAAGUUCAUACACAUUACUAGCAUUCCUAAUUAAAUACUACAAACAUGGAUACUACCAUUACUAGAAGAACCAUAACACCUAGACCGAGCUCAAACCCAUGACAUUUUUUGGCCAAAUCAGAGACAGUUUUCUCAAGCAUAGUCACCUUCAGCUCCGUCUGGUAAUGGAGAUCUUUUACCUGGUUUAGUUCAGACUCGUAGUCACUAACACCGGCAAUAUAAUCAAUCUUAUCUGAUAGCAGAGCAUACUGUGUACCUAAAGCUUUGAUCUCCUCUGUAGCCGCUUCCUCCCAGCACUUGUAUACAUGGCAGUCUCCAUCGUCGAUGUUCUCACAUGAGUAGAACCUUCUCCCCGUGAUAGAUGUCCUAAGAACCGGUUCUCCACCGCAGUAGCAUUCCCUGGGGAAGCCGAACUCAACCUCCGGCUGCGGAGGGUACUGAACACGCGAAGCUUCAAUCUCUGCUUGGUCGAGCAUAAUAUUCAUUUCUGUUGAGCAGUGUUCACUCUCUGUUGUGUUCCCUAAACCAUAAUCAUCCGACUGAGACGGCUGCGUGUAGCUAUAAUCCAAACCCAUGACCUGAGCAAACAUUAAAACAGGACACACCACGCGAGAUGAUUUCAUUAGUUAAAACUUAAGAUCACAUAUAACACAAGCUCAUAAAACAUAAGAGAAGCAUUAUCAUUAGUUAAAACAUAACAUCACAUAUAACACAAGCACAUAAAACAUAAACCACGACAUAAGCUACAUUUUCAUACAUAUUAAACAAGACAGAGACAGGUUCACAACGGCUUAAGAGGAAUUCUUAAUUAGAAAAACUAGAAGAGUUCGGCCAAGAGCUUGUUCAUUACGGUUUCUUGACUCUCACUUAGUGGACUGGUCUUAGCAAGGAGAGUAUCUAAUAUCGCCAUCUUAGACAGCUUCUCCUUCCUAGCCAAAUCUUCACACUUGAGCUCGUAGAUGCUCUUAUAGUCCUCAAUAGCCUUCCCUUUACUACUAUUCCUGCUUGAUUUGGCAGCUUUGAUACCUUCAGGACGCACUGGUGCUUGUGGACUCUCCUCACCUACAUGAGCGCCGGCAGUUUCAGAAUUCACUUCACCACUCUUUCUCUUUGCACCGGUGGGCGUAGGGGUGUUAAGGCUUAUCCACUUUUGCUCGUGCCGCAGGACACACCACGCGUGCUCGAGGUUAAACUUGUGACCCUGAUCAGCGUAGAAGAUUUGAUGAGCCACAUUUAGUAAGUCAUUGUCACUCUGGCCGCUGGUUAUUUGUCUCUCUGCAGCAGAGAAUGCGGCACAGAACUUGUUCGUUUGAUCAUUGAUUCUGUGCCACCUCUGCUUGCAGUGAACAUUCUCUAUCUUCUCAUGAAGAGUUUCUGCAACAAACUCAUCAACGCGUUUCCAAAAGGUCUUUAACUUCAUAGAAUUUCCGACAACAGCGUCCUUUGAUGUGUUAAGCCACGCACUAAUCACCGCCUCGUCGUCACGCGGCGUCCAUUUCCUUCUCACACGUUCCACAGGUGUGUCCUGAGGUUGGGAUGGACCGUCAGGCUCUUGGGAACUGAAGGGAGGGUUUUCAGAGGCGCCAAUGUCGACACUGGAAGGAUAACUUUCAUAAGGAAAGUUAUCCUGAACAUUGUUAUUCUGAAGGUUGUUAAGAAGCCCCACAUAACCAGAGUUUGGCCUAUAUGGAUUCCUUGGAUCCAUUGGAAGAAGAAGAGAAGAGAUUAUAGAGAAUGAGAAGAGAUUUUAGAGAAUGAGAACAGAUUAGAGAGAAGGGAAAGACGAUUUGGAGAUUUAAUAGGGGAAACUUUAACAAGUAAUAACUCCAAAACCAACUAACCAUUAUCUACCUAUGUCUAAUCAAGGAGUUAUUACUAUACUACAAGUACGAAAGCUAUCAGCUCUGCUAGAUUAAUGGAUCAUUAAAUUUUACUACGAAAGCUAUCAGCUCUACUACAACUACAAAACCUAUAGAAGUCUAGAUGGAACAACAAGCCAAGCAGACAACACCAUUUCGUUAAAGUAACUUCUUAACCAAACUAUAUAAAUAUUUUUAAAACUUGUUUUUUUUUUUUUGAACUUGUCAGCUCUCUUGCACAAUCGUUUACAGUGUGAUUAACUACAACAGUUAUAAGAGUGAUCAAUAAGUUUAGUUACUUCAAUACAUAUUAACAAGUGUUUCGUAAGCUAUCAAAAACCUACAAACCAUUUAACCUAUCAUCUCUACGUAAAUACAAAUCUAAAACAGAGCUAUCGAGGACACAAUAACAAAGACAAUUGUUGAUACGAUACAACUACCAAGCUAUGAACGAUCAUCAUCAUCAUUCAAUAAAGAGACAGAAUGUAAUAUACUUAACUUAUCAUCACAACAAAGAUUCACACGAAUACUUAACUUAUCAUCACAACAAUACAGAAACUGAACCUAAUCAACAGAACAUAUAAUCAAAAUAUAGAAUCGAUAACAGCCUCUGUAAUCUACCAAACAAAUCCUCACAACUAAAAUCGAAGAACCCAUAAGGCGGAGGAAGUAGAUCGAUAACGACAAAGGAACACAUACCUUUUUAACUGAAAACAAACGGCAGGGAAUGGGCUUAGAGACAGGCUCCGGAAUGACUCGUGAGGGCUUCGUGACCGAUUCGGGGGAGAUGAGAGGAGAGAUGAGAGGAGAAAACAGCGAGCACGUCGUCGGUGUACUAUCGCCACAUGAGUCGCCAGAGAGAGAAUCAGAAGACGGUGAGAUCGAUAGACUGAAACGAAACGAGGGUUUCCCCUACCCGACGACGCCGUUUCAUCUCCACUCGACAGCUGGCAACGAAGGACGACAUUUAGAUCGACCUUAGUUAAGGCUCGUCCCGCAUAAUUAAACCCAUUUUCUAUUUAUUUUUCGGCCCAAAAUUGCUAAGGACCCAUAUUUGGACCACCGAUAACUAUGGCCUAAGGUUCUUGUUUUCGCUAUAUAAAUAUGACCAAAGAAAAAGCUAUGAAUUAUAAAAGAACUAAAGAAAACUAUAACCUAGUAACAUAAUCUGGACAUAUGGGUCGUCACUCCUCAGUCCUCGCUAAUCAUUAAAGAAGUCAUUCGAUCAUUUUAUGGGGACAGCUAGCAUAUAAAACAAAACAAGACGAAUAUUUUUUUUGUUUUGGUAAUCAACAAGACGAAUAUUUGUUCAUUAUUAUUUACAUAAUUUUAAGUUUUAUAUAUCCUUC
RNAcentral lists this long non-coding RNA (5506 nucleotides) under Brassica rapa (field mustard). RNAcentral describes it as "long non-coding RNA (BRAP_LNC002693)". The record is from RNAcentral. Lineage: Eukaryota; Viridiplantae; Streptophyta; Magnoliopsida; Brassicales; Brassicaceae.